Molecule: non-coding RNA, 1941 nt
Organism: Macaca mulatta (Rhesus monkey)
Lineage: Eukaryota; Metazoa; Chordata; Mammalia; Primates; Cercopithecidae
Source: RefSeq, a predicted model, not a curated record
AUGGGUGAGGGUUCUGUGUGGUGUAGAUGCUGUCAGUCAGCCAGGCCUUGCUUCUCACAAGGGGCGUUUCUGGGUAGAACGUGGAUCUUACUCACCCUGGGGUCUGUGUGGGCUCAAGGAGGAUCCCAUCUCCCCUUAUGUGUCUGAUACAGGAUCAGAUGUGGCCGCCCAGCAGCUGUGCACGUUGGGAGGAGGAGGGUCCAGGUGGGAAAAGGGAGCGAGACACAGGAAAGAGCACAGGCUUCCCCGUUCAGACCUGGGUUCCCGCCCCACCCCUUUUUUCUGUAAAGGAAUCCCUGACAUCCUCGUCCAUCUCCUGUGCCUUUCCGCUGGGUCAGCCUUCUCCCGCCACGCUUCUAACCCGCUGCCACCGGCAGCUCCACUCUAGCUGCAGGGCCUGACUGGGCUCUGGUUUCUCAGAAGAGCUCAGAGGACCUGGCUCCUCCCUCUUUGCUUCUGAACUGCAUUUCUUUCCUUAUUACUCAGUGUCCACACCCACGGUGGCUGCCUGGAUAAAAAUCUGCCCCCUUCUCCCGUCACCUUUCAUGCCAGACAAAAGCCCCAGUAAGUAAUGGCGACCUACCCAGGUCCGGCUAGCAGCUCUCCAUUCCUGAGGGGUCUGGGGCAGAACGGGGUCGUGUGAGCUCCUGGACCCCAAGUCUGAUUCCCUUUCCCUGUCUUCCCGCUCAUCUGCUAAGCUUGUUGAUUGGGUGCCACUAAGCAAAGUGAAUGAUUCUUGCCUGUAACUAGGAGGGGUGGAGUUCCCUCUCCAUCUUCACCCACUUCUGGGAGGCUUUCAGGGACUCACCACCCCACACUUGAUGCCUGGCCCAGACAGCCAAAGAAGAGGACCAGGCCGCUUCUCAACCCAGCUGACGCUUGGCAGCUUUGUGACCUCGGAUACACCUUCUCUUGGGAGGCCAGGCCCCGUGAUCCUAACUCUUCAGCUAUGACAUCAUGUGAGGCUACAAUUUUUUUUUUUAAGAGACAGUAUCUUGCUAUGUUGCCCGGGUUGGUUUUGAAAUCCUGGGCUUAGGCGAUUCUCCUGUCUCAGCCUCCCAAGUAGCUGGAACUUAGGGCGUGAGCCACCGCACCCACCUUCUGGAAAGGACAUGAAUAGGGAAGUGGAACUUGAUUGGACCUGUUCUGUGAGCUCAGGAGAGGUCCUCUGACAACUCACUUGGGGUAGGGAAAGGAGGUAAAGAGUCCUGUGGAAACCUCUGGCUGUGGGGACCCCAGUUCACUGAUGAUUGAAUGGGUCUACCUCUGUCAAAGGAGUUCAGAGUCCCACUCAUCAUUCAGACUGGGGGAAUCAGGCUCAGCUGACUGGCCCAGCCUUAAAUCCACUGAAUUUCUUUUUAUCUCUACAUAGAAAAACAGGAUUACAGUCGCUUCUCAGUGUCCAGUGAGGAUUGGUUCCUGGAGCCCCCCGAAUACCCGUCCAGGGGUGAUGCUCAAACCCCUUAUGUGUAACCUACACGCAUCCUCCCUUAUAUCCUUUAACUCAUCUCUGCGCUCCUCAAAUACCUCAUACCAUGUAAAUGCUGUGUAAACAGUUCUUGUGCUGUGUUGGUUUUUUAAUUUGUAUUAUUUUUUCUUGUGUUUUUAAAAUAUUUUUCUUUUCCUGAAUAUUUUUGAUCCACGGUUAGUUGCCUCCAUGGGUGCGGAACCCACAGACACGGAGGCUGCCUCUACUCAAACGAGCACGGCGGCGCCCUCUGGGUCCUCCUGUGGUCCUGUCUCUGGUGCUGCGUCCGCACGGCGGCGAACAGCAAAACUCAUCUUUUGCAAAUGAUCACUGUGGAGCGGAGUUCCGCUCUGUGACCUUUCGUCCCACUCUGGCUUACCAGAGGUCCCCUGGCCGUGGCCACAGCAUACCUAGCCUAGUGCUUGGCACCUCAGGCACACAAUAAAUCUUUAUGAAAUGGAUCUUCUCUGGUA